UACAGAGGUGGCGAGCGUUGUUCGGAUUUACUGGGCGUAAAAUGUGCGUAGGCGGCCUGUCAUGUCGGAUGUGAAAUCUCACCGCUCAACGGUGAAACGGCAUUCGAAACUGACAGGCUAGAGUGCGGAAGAGGAGAGUGGAAUUCUUGGUGUAGCGGUGAAAUGCGUUGAUAUCAAGAAGAACACCGGUGGCGAAGGCGACUCUCUAGUACGCAACUGACGCUGAGGCACGAAAGCGUGGGGAGCGAACAGG
Molecule: ribosomal RNA, 253 nt
Filed under: uncultured bacterium
Lineage: Bacteria
Description: partial 16S ribosomal RNA
Rfam family: Bacterial small subunit ribosomal RNA
Source: RNAcentral